AAUAGAUACCCUGGUAGUCCAUGCCGUAAACGUUGGGCACUAGGUGUGGGGGACAUUCCACGUUUUCCGCGCCGUAGCUAACGCAUUAAGUGCCCCGCCUGGGGAGUACGGCCGCAAGGCUAAAACUCAAAGGAAUUGACGGGGGCCCGCACAAGCGGCGGAGCAUGCGGAUUAAUUCGAUGCAACGCGAAGAACCUUACCAAGGCUUGACAUGUUCCAGACCGGGCUAGAGAUAGUCCUUCCCUUCGGGGCUGGUUCACAGGUGGUGCAUGGUUGUCGUCAGCUCGUGUCGUGAGAUGUUGGGUUAAGUCCCGCAACGAGCGCAACCCUCGUUCCAUGUUGCCAGCACGUAGUGGUGGGGACUCAUGGGAGACUGCCGGGGUCAACUCGGAGGAAGGUGGGGAUGACGUCAAAUCAUCAUGCCCCUUAUGUCUUGGGCUUCACGCAUGCUACAAUGGCCGGUACAAUGGGUUGCGAUACUGUGAGGUGGAGCUAAUCCCUAAAAGCCGGUCUCAGUUCGGAUUGGGGUCUGCAACUCGACCCC
This 544-nucleotide ribosomal RNA is filed under the name uncultured bacterium. Its description in RNAcentral is "bacterial SSU rRNA". It matches the Rfam family "Bacterial small subunit ribosomal RNA", at positions 777 to 1319 of the family's 1533-position model. The record is from RNAcentral.